UACGUAGGGUGCAAGCGUUAAUCGGAAUUACUGGGCGUAAAGCGUGCGCAGGCGGUUUUGUAAGACAGAGGUGAAAUCCCCGGGCUCAACCUGGGAACUGCCUUUGUGACUGCAAGGCUUGAGUGCGGCAGAGGAGGGCGGAAUUCCCGGUGUAGCGGUGAAAUGCGUAGAUAUCGGGAGGAACAUCAGUGGCGAAGGCGGCCCUCUGGUCCAGUACUGACACUCAAGUGCGAAAGCGUGGGGAGCAAACAGG
This 253-nucleotide ribosomal RNA is filed under the name uncultured bacterium. RNAcentral describes it as "partial 16S ribosomal RNA". It matches the Rfam family "Bacterial small subunit ribosomal RNA", at positions 524 to 776 of the family's 1533-position model. The record is from RNAcentral.